Molecule: ribosomal RNA, 806 nt
Filed under: Triticum aestivum (bread wheat)
Lineage: Eukaryota; Viridiplantae; Streptophyta; Magnoliopsida; Poales; Poaceae
Description: partial small subunit ribosomal RNA
Source: RNAcentral
CCACUAUUCCUCCCUCUAGUACGUCUCUCUGCCUCUCGAUCUGGAGAACGCCACGCUCCCGUUCCCGACCCCAUCGCCCCCGCCGGCCCCCGGCCCCCGUCGCGCCCGCCGGCCCCCAGUCCCCGGCCCCCGUCGCCUCCUCCGACCGCGGUGCAAGUUCCCGUCGCCCCCAGCAGCCGCUGGACUCGGCUCUGUCCCCUGUCGCCCUGCGGCCCGGCCUACCUUCGGGCCCGGCCUACCUUCGGCCCCGGCCCCGGCCCCCGUCGCCCUCGCCUACCCCCGGCCGCGCGGGCAACGAGCAUGGCGGACGCGCGGGCGACGAGCUUGGGUGGCGAGCAUGGCGCGCGGCGGCUUCUUCCCUCGGGCGCGCUGCGGCCUCUUCCGUCGAGCAAUGCGCGUGAUGGCCACAGAGGUGUUCCUCUCUCUGGCAGGCGGUGCCCCCUCUCUCUCUCUCCAGGAACCAGUGAGCAUGGCCGGGCGGCUGUGUGGAUACCAUUGUCGGGCAAGCGGCGCGGGCGUGCGUGGCUGUUCGGUGGCGUGGCGAGUAGGGCCGGGCGAGCGGCCCUGUGAGCAGGGCGAGGCGGGCGGCAGUGGUGUCCCGGCGAGAAGAAGGCCGGCCGGCGGUGAAGUACCUGUUGCUGCGAUGGAAGACUCGAUUGCUUUUCUUUUUUAGUUUCUAGGGGUCCUUGUGUAAAAUUUCAGGACAGUUGUGUAACUUCUCUGUAACCAUAGAUGAUGAAUGCAAGGCAGCACACCGUGUCGAGUCUAAAAUCUCCGAGAGCUAAACCUGUUUUUGUUUGUUGUUC